UACGGGAGGCAGCAGUGGGGAAUAUUGCACAAUGGGCGAAAGCCUGAUGCAGCUAUGCCGCGUGUAUGAAGAAGGCCUUAGGGUUGUAAAGUACUUUCAUCGGGGAGGAAAAAACAAAACUAAUAAUUUUAUUUCUUGACGUUACCCGAAAAAGAAGCACCGGCUAACUCCGUGCCAGCAGCCGCGGUAAUACGGAGGGUGCUAGCGUUAAUCAGAAUUACUGGGCGUAAAGAGCACGUAGGUGGUUUUUUUAAGUCAGAUGUGAAAUCCCUGGGCUUAACCUAGGAACUGCAUUUUGAAACUGAAAUACUAGAGUAUCGUAGAGGGAGGUAGAAUUCUAGGUGUAGCGGUGAAAUGCGUAGAUAUCUGGAGGAAUACCUGUGGCGAAAGCGGCCUCCUAAACGAAUACUGACACUGAGGUGCGAAAGCGUUGGGGAGCGAAACAGGGAUUAGAUACC
This 458-nucleotide ribosomal RNA is filed under the name uncultured bacterium. Its description in RNAcentral is "bacterial SSU rRNA". It matches the Rfam family "Bacterial small subunit ribosomal RNA", at positions 340 to 786 of the family's 1533-position model. The record is from RNAcentral.